AUUGAACGCUGGCGGCAGGCCUAACACAUGCAAGUCGAGCGGAGCGGCGGACGGGUGAGUAAUGCCUAGGAAUCUACCUGGUAGUGGGGGAUAAAGUCCGGAAACGGGCGAUAAGACCGCAUACUAGCAGAUGAGCCUAGGUCGGAGUAGCUAGUUGGUGGGGUAAAGGCCUACCAAGGCGACGAUCCGUAACUGGUCUGAGAGGAUGAUCAGUCACAAUGUAACAGAGACACGGUCCAGACUACUACGGGAGGAAGCAGUGGGGAAUAUUGCACAAUGGGCGAAAGCCUGAUGCAGCCAUGCCGCGUGUAUGAAGAAGGCCUUCGGGUUGUAAAGUACUUUCAGCGGAGAGGCGUUACCCGCAGAGGAAGCACCGGCUAACUCCGUGCCAGCAGCCGCGGUAAUUC
RNAcentral lists this ribosomal RNA (407 nucleotides) under uncultured bacterium. RNAcentral's name for it is "partial 16S ribosomal RNA". It matches the Rfam family "Bacterial small subunit ribosomal RNA", at positions 30 to 526 of the family's 1533-position model. The record is from RNAcentral.